RNAcentral lists this ribosomal RNA (433 nucleotides) under uncultured bacterium. RNAcentral's name for it is "bacterial SSU rRNA". It matches the Rfam family "Bacterial small subunit ribosomal RNA", at positions 32 to 507 of the family's 1533-position model. The record is from RNAcentral.
GAACGACGCUGGCGGCAUGCCUAACACAUGCAAGUCGAACGAGCCUUCGGGCUUAGGUGGCGCACGGGUGCGUAACACGUGGGAAUCUGCCCUUCGGUUCGGAAUAACAGUUAGAAAUGACUGCUAAUACCGGAUGAUGACGAAAGUCCAAAGAUUUAUCGCCGAAGGAUGAGCCCGCGUAGGAUUAGGUAGUUGGUAGGGUAAUGGCCUACCAAGCCGACGAUCCUUAGCUGGUCUGAGAGGAUGAUCAGCCACACUGGGACUGAGACACGGCCCAGACUCCUACGGGAGGCAGCAGUGGGGAAUAUUGGACAAUGGGCGAAAGCCUGAUCCAGCAAUGCCGCGUGAGUGAUGAAGGCCUUAGGGUUGUAAAGCUCUUUUACCAGGGAUGAUAAUGACAGUACCUGGAGAAUAAGCUCCGGCUAACUCCGUG